CAGUCAGGUUCUUCGGACCUGUCCUGAAAAGUCCCGGGGGGUAACUUCCUCGCUGGGCCAGCGUCUUAGGACACCUCCUUCUGCCAUCGGCAGAUUGACGGGAUUCGAACCAAGACAGAGCAGCAAUCAACCAAACGAGUCAGCUUUGUGCCUUGUAAGAGCAUCCUAGAACAUCCUGUGGCAGAGUUCUCUGAAGAAACUAUCUGGGUGACUAUGUAAAGCAACCCAACCCUCUUUUCCUUGACAUGACAAUAAAAAGCAGCUGAGAGGUGAGAACCGGUGGAGUUGAUCCCAGACAGUUGUUUGACUGCGGUUCUCCGUGUCUGGCUCCUCUCCCCUCUUCUGCAGAAGAGUAACUUGUGUCUCUGGUUGAUUCCUUGCAGAUUGGGAACCAUAAUAGAGCCAACAUCUUGGGGGCUCGUCCGGGAUCCCAACAUACCUGCCCUCUGACCGAGGGAGUAGGACGCGCUGAAAUCUG
Molecule: long non-coding RNA, 478 nt
Organism: Xiphophorus hellerii (green swordtail)
Lineage: Eukaryota; Metazoa; Chordata; Actinopteri; Cyprinodontiformes; Poeciliidae
Exons: 2
Source: RefSeq, a predicted model, not a curated record